This 771-nucleotide long non-coding RNA is filed under the name Parus major (Great Tit). Its description in RNAcentral is "lncRNA (ENSPMJG00000007856.1)". Lineage: Eukaryota; Metazoa; Chordata; Aves; Passeriformes; Paridae. The record is from RNAcentral.
CUAGAGAAAUGUUAAAGCUGGGCUUGAAGAAGAGUCUUGUGGUGAUGUAAAAUGCAUGUCCUUUAUGGAUGGCUGCUCAUAUGUGCAGUGUCAAGAAUUUUGGUGUAGAAAACCCCAUUUGGUAUUUUAUCCCUGCUAAAACAUCUUCUUCCAACUGAAACACUUCAGCUGCUUGGAUGAAGAUUGUCUUUCAAAUGAAAUAGCUGUUCUCAUACUUGCACUGAACAUUUUCUAACACCGUGGAACAGACGUGAUGGAUGCCACAGAAGGAAGGGCACGCUCCCAGGAAAGAGCAGAGGCAAAGCAACCAACCCCUUUUUUCCUGAGGACAAAUCCAAGUGCAUCUGGAUGAGCGUGAAGAAUGAGAAUAUGAAUACAGACAAUUAUGAUGGAGUAGAGGCCUUGUAAAUUUAUACCCAAACUUACCCCCUGUGACUGCAACAGAAGCCAAGAAAUCCUGCAGGUCAGCUGCCCAUGCUCAGCUGAGAAGAAACCAACACAGAGUUCAGCAGCACUGGCAGCUUUGCUCCAUGCACCCCUGUAAACUUGCUAAAGAAACCUUUCCAGAGCCUUCACCACAGCUGCAAAGCACAAACCCCACAACUGUGCUCUGCCAGAGGAAGAAAGUAAGAAUAUCCUAAGGGAAAAUUCACAGAGGAUCCUAGGAAGUGCUUACUUUCACCUCAGUUUGCACAUGUGUCUAGUAACAAAAUGACAGGUGAGCAAGCAAAAAAACUUGAUUUUUUUUAGGCAAUGUUGUUGUAGAUGAGA